This 471-nucleotide ribosomal RNA is filed under the name uncultured organism. Its description in RNAcentral is "partial 16S ribosomal RNA". It matches the Rfam family "Bacterial small subunit ribosomal RNA", at positions 334 to 797 of the family's 1533-position model. The record is from RNAcentral.
CACUCCUACGGGAGGCAGCAGUGGGGAAUUUUGGACAAUGGGCGAAAGCCUGAUCCAGCAAUGCCGCGUGAGUGAAGAAGGCCUUCGGGUUGUAAAGCUCUUUUGUCAGGGAAGAAACGGUGAAAGCUAAUAUCUUUUGCUAAUGACGGUACCUGAAGAAUAAGCACCGGCUAACUACGUGCCAGCAGCCGCGGUAAUACGUAGGGUGCAAGCGUUAAUCGGAAUUACUGGGCGUAAAGCGUGCGCAGGCGGUUUUGUAAGUCUGAUGUGAAAUCCCCGGGCUCAACCUGGGAAUUGCAUUGGAGACUGCAAGGCUAGAAUCUGGCAGAGGGGGGUAGAAUUCCACGUGUAGCAGUGAAAUGCGUAGAUAUGUGGAGGAACACCGAUGGCGAAGGCAGCCCCCUGGGUCAAGAUUGACGCUCAUGCACGAAAGCGUGGGGAGCAAACAGGAUUAGAUACCCCAGUAGUCCC